GACGAACGCUGGCGGCGUGCUUAACACAUGCAAGUCGAGCGGAAAGGCCCUUUCGGGGGUACUCGAGCGGCGAACGGGUGAGUAACACGUGAGUAAUCUGCCCUUGGCUUUGGGAUAACCACCGGAAACGGUGGCUAAUACCGGAUAUGACGGGCUCCGGCAUCGGGGUUCGUGGAAAGUUUUUUCGGCCAGGGAUGUGCUCGCGGCCUAUCAGCUUGUUGGUGGGGUAAUGGCCUACCAAGGCUUCGACGGGUAGCCGGCCUGAGAGGGUGACCGGCCACACUGGGACUGAGACACGGCCCAGACUCCUACGGGAGGCAGCAGUGGGGAAUAUUGGACAAUGGGCGGAAGCCUGAUCCAGCAACGCCGCGUGAGGGAUGACGGCCUCGGU
RNAcentral lists this ribosomal RNA (391 nucleotides) under uncultured bacterium. Its description in RNAcentral is "bacterial SSU rRNA". It matches the Rfam family "Bacterial small subunit ribosomal RNA", at positions 28 to 423 of the family's 1533-position model. The record is from RNAcentral.